CGAAUUCGGCCCUUAGGGUUUGAUCCUGGCUCAGAACGAACGCUGGCGGCAUGCCUAACACAUGCAAGUCGAACGAGACCUUCGGGUCUAGUGGCGCACGGGUGCGUAACGCGUGGGAAUCUGCCCUUGGGUUCGGGAUAACAGUUGGAAACGACUGCUAAUACCGGAUGAUGACUUCGGUCCAAAGAUUUAUCGCCCAGGGAUGAGCCCGCGUAGGAUUAGCUUGUUGGUGAGGUAAAAGCUCACCAAGGCGACGAUCCUUAGCUGGUCUGAGAGGAUGAUCAGCCACACUGGGACUGAGACACGGCCCAGACUCCUACGGGAGGCAGCAGUGGGGAAUAUUGGACAAUGGGCGAAAGCCUGAUCCAGCAAUGCUGCGUGAGUGAUGAAGGCCUUAGGGUUGUAAAGCUCUUUUACCCGGGAUGAUAAUGACAG
Molecule: ribosomal RNA, 435 nt
Filed under: uncultured Alphaproteobacteria bacterium
Lineage: Bacteria; Pseudomonadati; Pseudomonadota; Alphaproteobacteria
Description: bacterial SSU rRNA
Rfam family: Bacterial small subunit ribosomal RNA
Source: RNAcentral